UACGUAGGUGGCAAGCGUUGUCCGGAUUUACUGGGCGUAAAGAGCGCGCAGGCGGCUGAUUAAGUCCGAUGUGAAAUCUCCCGGCUCAACCGGGAAACUGCACCGGAAACUGAUCGGCUUGAAGGUGGGAGAGGGUAGUGGAAUUCCCGGUGUAGUGGUGAAAUGCGUAGAUAUCGGGAGGAACACCAGUGGCGAAGGCGACUACCUGGCCCAUUCUUGACGCUGAGGCGCGAAAGCUAGGGGAGCGAACGGG
RNAcentral lists this ribosomal RNA (253 nucleotides) under uncultured bacterium. RNAcentral describes it as "partial 16S ribosomal RNA". It matches the Rfam family "Bacterial small subunit ribosomal RNA", at positions 524 to 776 of the family's 1533-position model. The record is from RNAcentral.